UGGCGAACGGGUGAGUAACACGUGGGUGAUCUGCCUUGCACUCUGGGAUAAGCUUGGGAAACUGGGUCUAAUACCGGAUAGGAACCGUCUUUAGUGUGGUGGUUGGAAAGUUUUUUCGGUGCAAGAUGAGCUCGCGGCCUAUCAGCUUGUUGGUGGGGUAAUGGCCUACCAAGGCGUCGACGGGUAGCCGGCCUGAGAGGGUGUACGGCCACAUUGGGACUGAGAUACGGCCCAG
This 235-nucleotide ribosomal RNA is filed under the name uncultured Actinomycetales bacterium. Its description in RNAcentral is "partial 16S ribosomal RNA". It matches the Rfam family "Bacterial small subunit ribosomal RNA", at positions 96 to 334 of the family's 1533-position model. The record is from RNAcentral. Lineage: Bacteria; Bacillati; Actinomycetota; Actinomycetes; Actinomycetales.